This 1249-nucleotide ribosomal RNA is filed under the name Lactiplantibacillus pentosus. RNAcentral's name for it is "bacterial SSU rRNA". It matches the Rfam family "Bacterial small subunit ribosomal RNA", at positions 73 to 1280 of the family's 1533-position model. The record is from RNAcentral. Lineage: Bacteria; Bacillati; Bacillota; Bacilli; Lactobacillales; Lactobacillaceae.
UUGGUGCUUGCAUCAUGAUUUACAUUUGAGUGAGUGGCGAACUGGUGAGUAACACGUGGGAAACCUGCCCAGAAGCGGGGGAUAACACCUGGAAACAGAUGCUAAUACCGCAUAACAACUUGGACCGCAUGGUCCGAGUUUGAAAGAUGGCUUCGGCUAUCACUUUUGGAUGGUCCCGCGGCGUAUUAGCUAGAUGGUGAGGUAACGGCUCACCAUGGCAAUGAUACGUAGCCGACCUGAGAGGGUAAUCGGCCACAUUGGGACUGAGACACGGCCCAAACUCCUACGGGAGGCAGCAGUAGGGAAUCUUCCACAAUGGACGAAAGUCUGAUGGAGCAACGCCGCGUGAGUGAAGAAGGGUUUCGGCUCGUAAAACUCUGUUGUUAAAGAAGAACAUAUCUGAGAGUAACUGUUCAGGUAUUGACGGUAUUUAACCAGAAAGCCACGGCUAACUACGUGCCAGCAGCCGCGGUAAUACGUAGGUGGCAAGCGUUGUCCGGAUUUAUUGGGCGUAAAGCGAGCGCAGGCGGUUUUUUAAGUCUGAUGUGAAAGCCUUCGGCUCAACCGAAGAAGUGCAUCGGAAACUGGGAAACUUGAGUGCAGAAGAGGACAGUGGAACUCCAUGUGUAGCGGUGAAAUGCGUAGAUAUAUGGAAGAACACCAGUGGCGAAGGCGGCUGUCUGGUCUGUAACUGACGCUGAGGCUCGAAAGUAUGGGUAGCAAACAGGAUUAGAUACCCUGGUAGUCCAUACCGUAAACGAUGAAUGCUAAGUGUUGGAAGGGUUUCCGCCCUUCAGUGCUGCAGCUAACGCAUUAAGCAUUCCGCCUGGGGAGUACGGCCGCAAGGCUGAAACUCAAAGGAAUUGACGGGGGCCCGCACAAGCGGUGGAGCAUGUGGUUUAAUUCGAAGCUACGCGAAGAACCUUACCAGGUCUUGACAUACUAUGCAAAUCUAAGAGAUUAGACGUUCCCUUCGGGGACAUGGAUACAGGUGGUGCAUGGUUGUCGUCAGCUCCUGUCCUGAGAAGUUUGGGUUAAAUCCCCCAACGAGGGCAACCCUUAUUAUCAUUUGCCACCAUUAAAUUUGGGCACUCUGGUGGAGACUGCCCGUGACAAACCCGAGGAAAAGGUGGGGGAUGAAAUUCAAAAUCAAUAAUGCCCCCUUUUGACCCGGGCGUACCACCCGCGUUCAAAGGGAGGGGGUCACACAAAUUUGGGAACCCCCCCGAAGAGAACCAUUUAGUCUUAA